UGGAGUUAAGUACAACAUGGAAAAUGGUGGACCUGCGCCAGAAGGUGUUACUAAUAAGAUCUAUGAGAACACUACGACAAUAAAGGAGUAUUUGAUUGCAGAGGGCCUGCCUGAUGUAGAACCUACUCUUUAACUAUUAUAUUUAAAUGUGCAUUUAAGUACUUAUUUUGAUUGAUCAAGGUACUCUUCUGACAAUGCCCUAUUUGAAUUGAGGCGGACAUCUCUAAAACUGGCGUUUCAAGCUUUGAGGGCCCNNNNNNNNNNNNNNNNNNNNNNNNNAGAUGGGAAAUUUGAUGUUGAUGUCUUCGAUUCAACUAUUGAUUAUGUGAAACUGAUGAAGUAUGAAUUAAACCCCCCGCCCUCUCUAUUAUUUUUUCUUUUGGGCAUAUCAUUCAAUAUGUGUCUGUCUUCUUUUAGUUCGGAUGUAUGUCAAAUAUGUUCAUGUCAAGUUCAAACGAUAAUUUAGAGCAGCCAUUAUACCGAUGUUGCUGAAUGUGUAGUUCCCUUCCAUAGUAUUAAGGGUGCAUGAUGGAACUACGGGUUGAUGCGUGCAUCUUCAAUUUUUUAAUUAUACGGGAAGCAGUUGUUUUGUGAUUGCCAGAACUCACCUUAUCAUCAUUAUCAUUUAUUUGAUAGAGUAAUAUCUUAUUCUUGUAAAAUUGCCAGUGAUCCAGGUAUUCUUAAUGGUUGCACUUCUGAUUCAAAACUUGAUCUG
This 715-nucleotide long non-coding RNA is filed under the name Nicotiana tabacum (common tobacco). Its description in RNAcentral is "long non-coding RNA (NTAB_LNC004664)". Lineage: Eukaryota; Viridiplantae; Streptophyta; Magnoliopsida; Solanales; Solanaceae. The record is from RNAcentral.